AGCUAGACAAGGCCACACCCUCUGCUCACCUGGUCAUUCCCUGGUCCACUUCUGAGGCAGACGUGUGCUGCUGAUGGGAGACAAGGACACAAUGAAAGGGGCUGCAAGGGGCAGAAGGCCUGGCCAGCAGAAACAAGGUGUCUCCCACAGGGAAAAUGGGAGGAUUUCCUCCAAGGAAAACCUGUCUGUAAAAGAGAAGGGAGGAGAUCGACAGCCCUCAGAAAGACAGAGAGAAAAACGAAGCAUGGAGACACAAGAGGGCUCUCAGAGCAAAGCAGAGGUCACCAGGCACAAGCGAUGCAGAAGCCGGGAUGACUUCCCUGAGAGUCACAAGAGAAACGGCCAUGGAGAAGAGAAGGUGAGGGGACAACUACCCCCAGCCCAGUGGAGAUCUAAGGAGCAUCCAAACUCCUGCAGAGCAGGACUUUACCACAGAGCAGGUUCUGCCCAUACUUCCGGGCGUCUCCACGACAGGGGGGCCCGGUUCCGAUCGCCAAUGUGGGCCCGGGACCAGAGACGCUGCCAGUGCAACCCGGAGUCCAGGCCCGCCUCGCCCAAGCGCCCUCGCAGAAGCCAGUCACCUGAAGCCGCCGCGCCCCUGGAGGCGCUCACGUCCAAGCUCUCCAACCAGAUGGGAGCCCUUGAAGUGGUCCUGGAUGAGUUGCGGGCCCCGGGGGGGCGCCUUCCUACCGGUGCCCACCGACCGCACGGAGCCCACGGCCUCGCAGCGCGCCUGGCUUACCUGGCAGCUGACGCACGCGGGCGCCGCCCUACACUGGGCUCUGACGGCGCUGGAUUCCUUGCUCGCCGUGCACCACCGACCUCCGGGACCGCAGGUCUACCCGCCCUGGGCGCCUGGGCCUUAGGGGCGCAGUUCGCCUUUCUCCACCUCUUCUCUGGUCUUGCAAGGCUCCGAGGCAGCAUCUCAGUACCCUGAGGCGAAGAACUUCCUCCACAAAACACAGAAACCCACCUGUCUUGGGGACGGUGUUCCUCAGGGACCAGACCUCAUCCCCUGCUGCUUCCCAGCUCAGGGAGAUGUGUUCCUGUGUCCAGGAGUCAGCCUGCUAGGAUGUGCAUUCAGAGGACAACGCUUGUUUAAUCCUAUGGCUCCGAUUGCAGACCUUAGUGAUGUGAUUUGUGCCUUUUGAUCCCUCCAUAUUUCCUGUUUUACUUGAAAAAUGAAAUGAGAGACAGGUGGAUGGGGGGCAUGGCGAGGAGAAAGAAAGAUUGACAGAUGAGAGAUAGAGAUAUAGAUUGAUUCGUAGGGGUGGAUUCCACUGUAAGGAACAAUUGUCUUUUUUUUUUUUUUUCUAGAGAUUGGUUUUUUUGAGGUUAUAGUUAGAAAACUAUCUUGAACAAAUCUUUAUAUUUAAUAAGAAAUCUGGAUCGUAUGAAGAACUUUGUAGAUUUUUGGUGUUGAAAUUAAAACUACAUUUUUACUUAUUAUAGAACAUUGUGUUCUACAUGGACUGCAAUAAAUUUUUAAAUAUUGCAAUCUUUUGUCA
RNAcentral lists this long non-coding RNA (1508 nucleotides) under Bos indicus x Bos taurus (hybrid cattle). RNAcentral's name for it is "lncRNA (ENSBIXG00000000148.1)". Lineage: Eukaryota; Metazoa; Chordata; Mammalia; Artiodactyla; Bovidae. The record is from RNAcentral.